Molecule: ribosomal RNA, 479 nt
Filed under: uncultured bacterium
Lineage: Bacteria
Description: partial 16S ribosomal RNA
Rfam family: Bacterial small subunit ribosomal RNA
Source: RNAcentral
GACGAACGCUGGCGGCGUGCUUAACACAUGCAAGUCGAGCGAUGAAGCACCUUCGGGUGUGAAUUAGCGGCGAACGGGUGAGGAACACGUGAGAAAUCUGCCUUCAACUCUGGGAUAACUCCGUGAAAACGGGGCUAACACCGGAUAUGAAACCUGCGGGCAUCCGCGGGUUUGGAAAGUUUUUCGGUUGAAGAUGAUCUCGCGGCCUAUCAGCUUGUUGGUGUGGUAAUGGCUCACCAAGGCGACGACGGGUAGCCGGCCUGAGAGGGCGACCGGCCACACUGGGACUGAGACACGGCCCAGACUCCUACGGGAGGCAGCAGUGGGGAAUAUUGGGCAAUGGAGGAAACUCUGACCCAGCGACGCCGCGUGCGGGAUGAAGGCCUUCGGGUUGUAAACCGCUUUCAGCAGGGAAGAAGCGAAAGUGACGGUACCUGCAGAAGAAGCACCGGCUAACUAUGUGCCAGCCGCCGCCGUAA